This 482-nucleotide small RNA is filed under the name Histoplasma capsulatum var. duboisii H88. Its description in RNAcentral is "Histoplasma capsulatum H88 hypothetical RNA". The record is from RNAcentral. Lineage: Eukaryota; Fungi; Ascomycota; Eurotiomycetes; Onygenales; Ajellomycetaceae.
CCAUGGGGCUUGAUUCUUGUUUUGCUUUCUCUUUAGCACCUCCGCUGGUUAUCCCUACUUUAGAUUCUGGACGCUCACCACCCUUUUAAUAAUAGUAAUAUUUGUUAUUGUUAUUGUGGUUGUUGUUGUUCUCUGGGAACCCCAUCCCCCCAUUCUGCCUCCCUCUUCCUUCAGCGUAGCCCCAACAUGAUUACAGUAGCAGGACGCCGUUAGGUAGGCAAACAGCAAAACCUGAUUUUCUCUCUCCUGGGCUAUUAUAAGCAGGGUUAGUUCCUCACGGUGUGGGUGUGGGUGAGCGUGUCGGGAAGCGUAAUCCCUUGCUAUAUAAACUAGCACACACGCUUCAGCGUGCCGAAUUAGCCCUACAAGACCAUUUUGUCCCCCAAACCAAUGUAUCUAUACAAUUUGUAUGACGUUUGGGAAAAAAUAAAAUAAAAAUAAAAAUACAAAAGCAAGCUAGUUCCAGAAAUGCAAAACCUCGU